UUGAUCAUGGCUCAGAUUGAACGCUGGCGGCAGGCCUAACACAUGCAAGUCGAGCGGUAACAGGGGAAGCUUGCUUCUCGCUGACGAGCGGCGGACGGGUGAGUAAUGUAUGGGGAUCUGCCCGAUAGAGGGGGAUAACCACUGGAAACGGUGGCUAAUACCGCAUAAUCUCUUAGGAGCAAAGCAGGGGAACUUCGGUCCUUGCGCUAUCGGAUGAACCCAUAUGGGAUUAGCUAGUAGGUGGGGUAAUGGCUCACCUAGGCGACGAUCCCUAGCUGGUCUGAGAGGAUGAUCAGCCACACUGGGACUGAGACACGGCCCAGACUCCUACGGGAGGCAGCAGUGGGGAAUAUUGCACAAUGGGCGCAAGCCUGAUGCAGCCAUGCCGCGUGUAUGAAGAAGGCCCUAGGGUUGUAAAGUACUUUCAGUCGGGAGGAAGGCGUUGAUGCUAAUAUCAUCAACGAUUGACGUUACCGACAGAAGAAGCACCGGCUAACUCCGUGCCAGCAGCCGCGGUAGUACGGAGGGUGCAAGCGUUAAUCGGAAUUACUGGGCGUAAAGCGCACGCAGGCGGUUGAUUAAGUUAGAUGUGAAAUCCCCGGGCUUAACCUGGGAAUGGCAUCUAAGACUGGUCAGCUAGAGUCUUGUAGAGGGGGGUAGAAUUCCAUGUGUAGCGGUGAAAUGCGUAGAGAUGUGGAGGAAUACCGGUGGCGAAGGCGGCC
Molecule: ribosomal RNA, 722 nt
Filed under: uncultured bacterium
Lineage: Bacteria
Description: bacterial SSU rRNA
Rfam family: Bacterial small subunit ribosomal RNA
Source: RNAcentral